This is a long non-coding RNA of Antechinus flavipes (yellow-footed antechinus), 826 nucleotides long. RefSeq lists it as uncharacterized. The record is from RefSeq and is a predicted model, not a curated record. The transcript has 2 exons. NCBI's taxonomy places the organism in Eukaryota, Metazoa, Chordata, Mammalia, Dasyuromorphia, Dasyuridae.
AUCAGGUUGCUUCAAACAAUGGCAUCAUCUUUUAAUUUAGAAUAGCAUUUGGAUCAGGGUAAAAUUUCCGCCCCGAUAACCGGUUCCUGGAGUACUUCCAAGGCACUGCAUGUAGGAGCGGCAUUCUAACACUGGGUGGAGACAGCACCGCUUGGAUGCUCCGGGAGGCUCGCGGGAUGCAAGCCGGCAGAGUCCGCCUACAGCCUCUUAAGGGGCUGGCUUGUCCGCCUCGUGCUAAGGAUCCCCUUUCCGACGAGCAGUGCUAGGGCCAGCUGGACGGCCAUUCUAGAGCGCUCGUUAGUGGUCAAGCCACAAUGGAGAAGGGGCUUCGGUUGGAGAUUUGGUUCUGUUUCUUUGUUUUUGGGGGGUGGACAUUAGAAUCAAUUUGGCAAAAACCUGAAACGCAGUCUAAAUGAUAGCUAAAUAUCCUUAAUUCAUUCUAAACAACAUCAGUUAAGAACCAGCGUAUCUCUGCCUCCUGAAAAAUACUGGAACCCUGCCUGAAAUGAAUAUGGGCCACUUCAUCAAUUGGGAAAUGGCUGAAUCAAUUGUGGUAUGUGAAGGGAAUGGAAUAUUAUUUUUCUACAAAAAAUGAUGAACAGACUGAUUUUAGAAUGACCUGGAAAGAUUUAAAUGAACUGACACUGAAUGAAACUUCAAACAGAACCAAAAAUACAGUGUACACAGCAACAGCAACAUUAUGUAACGAUCAACUAUUAAAGACUUGGUUCUUCCCAAUUCAAUGAUCCAAGGCAAUCCCAAUAAACAGACAGAAAACACCAUCUGCAUCCAGAAAUAAAACUAAGACUGAAUGUAAAUCAACAAA